CGCGGAGCCGGGAAGUCGCCGCGACUCCGGUGAGACUCAGAGUUGUCUCCGGAGGUGACGGGCGCGGAGGUGAGCGGUGGGGAGCAAGCGGCGACGGCGAAAACGCGGAGGCUGCGCCGUGGCCCCUUACCAUCUUUUGAAGGGAUAGUAGCGUAGGUCCAGGGUCCCACCGCCGCUUUGUUCGCAGCCUCUCCCUAAGGUACUCUUUGGAGAUGACUUGAACCCCCUCUGGGAUCCGAGGGUCUGGCUGGGGCGGGGGGGGGGGGGGGGGGGGCGACAGCUGUUAGGUCCUCCAUUUCCUGCUAAUCCGGGAAGGUACCAAAAGAGAUGAAAAGACUCCUGUAACCUGAAACUUCCUCCGUUCCAAACCUGGACCGGGAGGUGAGGUUCGAGCGGGGGCGGAGACCCCGGAAGGCGGGUCGCCAGCCGAGGCGGUGGGGGACGGAGCUAGGAGAGAGUGAGAAGUUUGGUCAGGAAGACGCUGGGGAUUAAGAAGUUAGACUUGGGGGACGAAUCUGAUCGGGAAAGAGGAGGGCGGGGGGCUGGAAGAGUGUAUAUAUAGUGUGGGCCUGGGCAGAAGGAAGACUUUACGCUCGGUGUCUCGGGACGCGCGCCCCUCUCCCGGGGAAAGAUGUGCGUGGGAGUGGGGGAGGCGAAGCCUGGACGGUGUUUCGGAGGGAGGUCCUGGGGACCGAGUGGGGACGACUUGGCUUGGGGAGUCCGGCUCCCGCACUCGGGGAGCUGCGGCCGCCGCCNCCGCCGCUCCUCACGCUUCUCUCCCGCCUGUCCCAGGUCCUGAAGCGGAUCGAGCGCGAGGCGCCAACAAAAGAGGCAAGAGGGUGCCACCCGGGGGCGGCGGCAGGAAGAGGAGCGGGAGGAAGAGCGCGGAGCUGAACGUCCCGAGCCUCCGUGCGUACUUUUUGGAGGGAAGGGGCGGGGGAAUCGGCCCCGGGAGGGGGACGCCGGGUGACGAGGGGUUUAGCCAAGUUCCGGCUUCGGCGUCCCUCCUCUGCUCCCACGAGAGGAAAGUUUUCUCCAGACGCUUCCGGCCGGCCGUCGCCCUCCG
Molecule: long non-coding RNA, 1066 nt
Filed under: Lynx pardinus (Iberian lynx)
Lineage: Eukaryota; Metazoa; Chordata; Mammalia; Carnivora; Felidae
Source: RNAcentral